Molecule: small RNA, 826 nt
Filed under: Pongo abelii (Sumatran orangutan)
Lineage: Eukaryota; Metazoa; Chordata; Mammalia; Primates; Hominidae
Description: retained intron
Source: RNAcentral
GGGAACAUGUCACCAUGAAUCUGACCACAAGCUGACUGGCAGGUGCUUUGGCCACAAGCUCUGACUCCAGGCCCUGUCCCUUGAGCUCUGCCCUCGGAUGUCCGACCGCCCAGAGCCUGCAUGCGCCGUGGGGCGCCCCAGGCCCAGGAGCUGGUGGGUCCGGGGCCCCCUGGGCGGGGGUCCCGGGGCGCCCCUCCUCCCUUGGGACCCGUUGUCCCGGUCCUGGUCUUUCCCCCGGAUCUAGUAUUCAGGGCGGACCAGCGGAGCGGACCCCGACAGCUGCUGACCCUCUAUAACCCCACAGGAACUGCGCUUCGCUUCCGAGGUAAAGGGAUCGGCGCCUCAGGGGGACUGGUGGCCGGACACUGUGGGGCUGUGUUGGCUGGAGGAGUUAGAUGGGUAGGGUUGGACGUCCAGCUUUGGUGGAGUGGGAAAGUCAUGUCCAGCCUCCGGGGCAGAAGGCAGAGGGGACUCAAAUGACCCACAUGGUAGGGCUUGUCUGUGUGUGUCUCUAUCCCCCAGUCCUGUGCACAGCACCUGCCAAAUACACGGUGUUUGACGCAGAGGGAUAUGUGAAGCCCCAGUCUUGCAUUGACAUUGUGAUUCGCCAUGUGGCACCCAUUCCCAGCCACUAUGAUGUCCAGGACCGCUUCCGCAUUGAGCUGUCUGAGGAAGGAGCUGAGGGCCGAGUGGUGGGACGCAAGGACAUUACCUCCGUUCUGAGAGCCCCAGCGUACCCCCUUGAGCUUCAGGGACAGCCAGAUCCAGCGCCUCACCCAGGGCCUCCUGCUGGGACACCACCACCCACGACCAGACACUUCCAGGA